RNAcentral lists this ribosomal RNA (253 nucleotides) under uncultured bacterium. Its description in RNAcentral is "partial 16S ribosomal RNA". It matches the Rfam family "Bacterial small subunit ribosomal RNA", at positions 524 to 776 of the family's 1533-position model. The record is from RNAcentral.
UACAGAGGUGGCAAGCGUUGUUCGGAAUCACUGGGCCUAAAGAGCGCGUCGGCGGUCUGACAAGUCCCCUGUGAAAGCCCCCGGCUUAACCGGGGAACUGCAUGGGAUACUGUUGGGCUAGAGUGCAGGAGGGGAGAGCGGAAUUCCUGGUGGAGCGGUGAAAUGCGUAGAUAUCAGGAGGAACGCCGGCGGCGAAAGCGACUCUCUGGCCUGUAACUGACGCUGAGGCGCGAAAGCUAGGGGAGCAAACGGG